CAUCAUCAAGGUUCCGCCCUAUAUUGGAGCGGCGAAGAGGGAAUCACGUGAGAAUCGUGAGCUGUCGCGCAACUGUAAUCCCCAUAAAUCGGUGGGCAAAACGCCAUUGGACAAAGCGGUCUGAGAAGGUGCCUGCCGACAGGGGUAAGCCAGGAGACCUGCCUCGACUGAU
Molecule: non-coding RNA, 172 nt
Filed under: bovine gut metagenome
Source: RNAcentral